ACGGAUUCCUGUGUCAUCAAGAUUCGCUCUGCCUCGAGUCUCCAGGAGCUUCCAGUGGCUUGGUUACCCCCGACUCUUCGUCCAUGCCUCUUAGAGCCCCUUUCCCAGCCUCACUGGGUGUCCCUUAAUAGUCUUGGGACCUUAAGGAGCAAGUCAGCCCCUGCGGAACCUCCCAGUGAAGAGAAAGAGCUGGCUGUGCGGUGGAACUUGGAAGAGACGACGUCUGGGAGCUUUUGCUGAGCCCAGGGGGAGAGGCGUCCCUCUGGCUGCUGCUCCAGCUCUGGCAGACACGCCAAGCUUUGAGAAAGCUCCCAGUGAGGAACUGGUCUUCUGGAGACUCUGUGUGGCAUAGAGUGAUUCAACCACCUUAAGAAGACCUCUGGCUUUCCUGGAACACAGAUGUCGAGACAUCUCCCAUGGAUUUGUGAUCAGCGUUGCAGCUCUCCCAGCAGCCCUGGACGGUGACUCUCCUCUCUUGGAAUGCAUCCUGAAGCAGCUGAAAAGGGGUGCCCCGGGCCCAGCAGGGAGCAAAAUCUGACUAGAGAAGAAGACAGGAACCAGGAUGGGAAGACGGACAUGUUACAUUUUAAGCUGGAGCUUCCCCUGCAGUCCACGGAGCACGUUCUCGGUGUGCAGCUCAUCCUGACUUUCUCCUAUCGAUUACACAGGAUGGCGACCCUCGUGAUGCAGAGCAUGGCGUUUCUCCAGUCCUCCUUUCCUGUCCCGGGAUCCCAGUUAUACGUGAACGGAGACCUGAGGCUGCAGCAGAAGCAGCCGCUGAGCUGUGGUGGCCUAGAUGCCCGAUACAAUGUAAGGGCGCUUCUCAUUGUCC
RNAcentral lists this long non-coding RNA (832 nucleotides) under Homo sapiens (human). RNAcentral describes it as "long non-coding RNA NONHSAT174057.1". Lineage: Eukaryota; Metazoa; Chordata; Mammalia; Primates; Hominidae. The record is from RNAcentral.